UUUACUAAUCUUUAUAUAUAUAGUUACGAUUUUAAUAAUGAAAUAAGAAUCCGAAAAUAUAUAUAUAGAAGAAGAUGCAAAUACAUGUGAAAUUUUAAAACAAUAUAUUCAAUGAAAAAAAUAUACCGUAAACUUAUUAUAUCUUAAAAAUUAAUAGACACAUAUAUUAUAAUAUAUAUCAAUUUAGAAUUGAAAACUAAAUAUUAUAUGAAAAUAAAUGAAGACAACCGCGCGGAUCGAGAUCUAGUUGGAUUAUUAAAAGAAGAGAAAAUUAUAUUGAAAGACACUUUUUGUCUUUUCAAUUACACUGAAAGACACAUGCCACUUUAGAGACACAUUUUUGUUGUUGUUUAUCUUUCUUACCCUUUACCUACAUCUUCCUUUUUAUUUUUUUUUCUCACCGUAAACAUCGAUGUCUAGUUUCUUCUUUUUUUUUUUGGUAAAAUUGUCUAGUUUCUUCUUCCUCCUUUUAAUGUCUUCUCUCUCUUAAGAUUUGUGGUUUCAAUUUAAUUUUCAAGACAGUAACAUUUCUAUCUCUUAUCUCAGUUUAUUUUGAAAUUUGAUUUAUUUUCAGAUUCGUGCUUAGUUUAUGUUAUUUUUAUCUUUUAACUAUUCAAAGUUUGAAUAUUUUGUGGAUCAAUCCAAUUUUCAGUGAUAAUUUAUAUUGGUUUUAGAUAUAUAAACGACAUCGCUAUUGGUUUUCUGUUUAAUUUGUAAACGAACCAAGUCACAAUAAAUAUCACUUGGAAUCUUUAAACGGUCUCUUCUACAUUUCAACUUCACGUUUCUAAAGUAUUCAUUUUGUGAUGGUUCACCUCUCGACAGAGAAGAUGGGAAUUUGAAAAGGGAGCCCCUAAGCAUUAGUGGACACAGAAGAAGAAGUUUUUAUGGCUGGAGUACUCAAACAUGGAACUGGAAAAUGGCUUUACAUAUUUGCAUACUCUUAGUACUAUCUCUCUCUAGACCCCGACCCCAACUCUCAUGUCCACGCCACCCAUAACAACAGCCUCAACAUCCACACUUCCUAAACCCCUAGCAGCCACAUUCACACCUUGCUUUUUGCUGAUAACCACAUCGACAUGUCCCAUGUCCACAACAAUACCAUCCACCCCUCGCAAGUCCCAGACAACCACAUCCAAC
RNAcentral lists this long non-coding RNA (1140 nucleotides) under Brassica rapa (field mustard). RNAcentral describes it as "long non-coding RNA (BRAP_LNC004311)". The record is from RNAcentral. Lineage: Eukaryota; Viridiplantae; Streptophyta; Magnoliopsida; Brassicales; Brassicaceae.